AUUGAACGCUGGCGGCAGGCCUAACACAUGCAAGUCGAGCGGAUGAAGGGAGCUUGCUCCUGGAUUCAGCGGCGGACGGGUGAGUAAUGCCUAGGAAUCUGCCUGGUAGUGGGGGAUAACGUCCGGAAACGGGCGCUAAUACCGCAUACGUCCUGAGGGAGAAAGUGGGGGAUCUUCAGACCUCACGCUAUCAGAUGAGCCUAGGUCGGAUUAGCUAGUUGGUUGGGUAAAGGCUUACCAAGGCGACGAUCCGUAACUGGUCUGAGAGGAUGAUCAGUCACACUGGAACUGAGACACGGUCCAGACUCCUACGGGAGGCAGCAGUGGGGAAUAUUCGACAAUGGGCGAAAGCCUGAUCGAGCCAUGCCGCGUGUGUGAAGAAGGUCUUCGGAUUGUAAAGCACUUUUAGUUGGGAGGAAGAGAAGUAAGAUAAUACAUUGCUGUUUUGACGUUACCAACAGAAUAAGCCCCGGCUAACUUCGUG
Molecule: ribosomal RNA, 484 nt
Filed under: uncultured bacterium
Lineage: Bacteria
Description: partial 16S ribosomal RNA
Rfam family: Bacterial small subunit ribosomal RNA
Source: RNAcentral